Molecule: ribosomal RNA, 497 nt
Filed under: uncultured bacterium
Lineage: Bacteria
Description: partial 16S ribosomal RNA
Rfam family: Bacterial small subunit ribosomal RNA
Source: RNAcentral
GAUGAACGCUGGCGGCGUGCCUAAUACAUGCAAGUCGAGCGAACAGAUAAGGAGCUUGCUCCUUUGACGUUAGCGGCGGACGGGUGAGUAACACGUGGGUAACCUACCUAUAAGACUGGAAUAACUCCGGGAAACCGGGGCUAAUGCCGGAUAACAUUUAGAACCGCAUGGUUCUAAAGUGAAAGAUGGUUUUGCUAUCACUUAUAGAUGGACCCGCGCCGGAUUAGCUAGUUGGUAAGGUAACGGCUUACCAAGGCAACGAUACGUAGCCGACCUGAGAGGGUGAUCGGCCACACUGGAACUGAGACACGGUCCAGACUCCUACGGGAGGCAGCAGUGGGGAAUCUUCCGCAAUGGGCGAAAGCCUGACCGAGCAACGCCGCGUGAGUGAUGAAGGUCUUCGGAUCGUAAAACUCUGUUAUUAGGGAAGAACAAAUGUGUAAGUAACUGUGCACGUCUCGACGGUACCUAAUCAGAAAGCCACGGCUAACUACGUG